GACGAACGCUGGCGGCGUGCCUAAUACAUGCAAGUAGGACGCACAGUUUAUACCGUAGCUUGCUACACCAUAGACUGUGAGUUGCGAACGGGUGAGUAACGCGUAGGUAACCUACCUAUUAGAGGGGGAUAACUAUUGGAAACGGUAGCUAAUACCGCAUAACAGUAUGUAACACAUGUUAGAUGCUUGAAAGAUGCAAUUGCAUCGCUAGUAGAUGGACCUGCGUUGUAUUAGCUAGUAGGUAGGGUAAUGGCCUACCUAGGCAACGAUACAUAGCCGACCUGAGAGGGUGAUCGGCCACACUGGGACUGAGACACGGCCCAGACUCCUACGGGAGGCAGCAGUAGGGAAUCUUCGGCAAUGGGGGGAACCCUGACCGAGCAACGCCGCGUGAGUGAAGAAGGUUUUCGGAUCGUAAAGCUCUGUUGUUAAGGAAGAACGAGUGUGAGAAUGGAAAGUUCAUGCUGUGACGGUACUUAACCAGAAAGGGACGGCUAACUACGUGCCAGCAGCCGCGGUAAUACGUAGGUCCCGAGCGUUGUCCGGAUUUAUUGGGCGUAAAGCGAGCGCAGGCGGUUAGAAAAGUCUGAAGUGAAAGGCAGUGGCUCAACCAUUGUAGGCUUUGGAAACUGUUUAACUUGAGUGCAGAAGGGGAGAGUGGAAUUCCAUGUGUAGCGGUGAAAUGCGUAGAUAUAUGGAGGAACACCGGUGGCGAAAGCGGCUCUCUGGUCUGUAACUGACGCUGAGGCUCGAAAGCGUGGGGAGCGAACAGG
Molecule: ribosomal RNA, 773 nt
Filed under: Streptococcus anginosus
Lineage: Bacteria; Bacillati; Bacillota; Bacilli; Lactobacillales; Streptococcaceae
Description: bacterial SSU rRNA
Rfam family: Bacterial small subunit ribosomal RNA
Source: RNAcentral